Molecule: long non-coding RNA, 199 nt
Organism: Dermochelys coriacea (leatherback sea turtle)
Lineage: Eukaryota; Metazoa; Chordata; Testudines; Dermochelyidae
Exons: 4
Source: RefSeq, a predicted model, not a curated record
CUGAUUUGAAGAUCUCAGUCUUACAACUCAAGCUUCCUCUGCCUAAAGCCUCAAGCAGAUCUGAGAUAAAAAGGAUCAGGACCCAAGGGCUUUUUAUACAGUUCCAGGCCUUCUCUUGACAGCUUGGAGUCCUUAGCUGAACAAUAGGCAAUCAUCCUGACUUUAAUGUAGACCUAUUUCCUAAACAUCACUUGGUAAU